This 292-nucleotide ribosomal RNA is filed under the name uncultured bacterium. RNAcentral describes it as "partial 16S ribosomal RNA". It matches the Rfam family "Bacterial small subunit ribosomal RNA", at positions 505 to 796 of the family's 1533-position model. The record is from RNAcentral.
GUGCCAGCCGCCGCGGUAAUACGGAGGAUCCAAGCGUUAUCCGGAAUCAUUGGGUUUAAAGGGUCCGCAGGCUGUUGUUUAAGUCAGAGGUGAAAGUUUGCAGCUCAACUGUAAAAUUGCCUUUGAUACUGGAUAACUUGAGUAAUAAUGAAGUGGUUAGAAUAUGUAGUGUAGCGGUGAAAUGCAUAGAUAUUACAUAGAAUACCGAUUGCGAAGGCAGAUCACUAAUUAUAUACUGACGCUGAUGGACGAAAGCGUGGGGAGCGAACAGGAUUAGAUACCCCUGUAGUCC